UACAGAGGGGGCAAGCGUUGUUCGGAAUUACUGGGCGUAAAGCGUGCGCAGGCGGUUUUGUAAGCCAGAUGUGAAAUCCCCGGGCUCAACCUGGGAAUGGCAUUUGGGACUGCAAGGCUGGAGUUUGGCAGAGGAGACUGGAAUUCCUGGUGUAGCGGUGAAAUGCGCAGAUAUCGGGAGGAACACCGGUGGCGAAGGCGGCCCCCUGGUUGGAUACUGACGCUGAGACGCGAAAGCGUGGGGAGCAAACAGG
This 253-nucleotide ribosomal RNA is filed under the name uncultured bacterium. RNAcentral describes it as "partial 16S ribosomal RNA". It matches the Rfam family "Bacterial small subunit ribosomal RNA", at positions 524 to 776 of the family's 1533-position model. The record is from RNAcentral.